Molecule: ribosomal RNA, 391 nt
Filed under: uncultured bacterium
Lineage: Bacteria
Description: bacterial SSU rRNA
Rfam family: Bacterial small subunit ribosomal RNA
Source: RNAcentral
GAUGAACGCUAGCGGCAGGCCUAAUACAUGCAAGUCGAACGGUAAGGCCCUUUCGGGGGUACACGAGUGGCGGACGGGUGCGUAACGCGUAUGCAACAUGCCUUCCAGCGGGGGAUAUACCAGGGAAACUUGGCGCAAUACCCCAUAGAAUUACGGGACCGCAUGGUCUUGUGAUUAAAACUCCGGUGCUGGGAGAUUGGCAUGCGUGACAUUAGCUAGUUGGCGGGGUAACGGCCCACCAAGGCGACGAUGUCUAGCUGGUCUGAGAGGAUGAUCAGCCACACUGGGACUGAGACACGGCCCAGACUCCUACGGGAGGCAGCAGUAGGGAAUAUUGGACAAUGGGGGGAACCCUGAUCCAGCCAUGCCGCGUGCGGGAAGAAGGCCUCGG